GAUGAACGCUAGCGGCAGGCUUAACACAUGCAAGUCGAGGGGUAGAGGAAGCUUGCUUCCUUGAGACCGGCGCACGGGUGCGUAACGCGUAUGCAAUCUACCUUAUACAGGGGGAUAGCCCAGAGAAAUUUGGAUUAAUACCCCAUAGUAUAAUUGAAUGGCAUCAUUUAAUUAUUAAAAGUUCCAACGGUAUAAGAUGAGCAUGCGUCCCAUUAGCUAGUUGGUGUGGUAACGGCACACCAAGGCGACGAUGGGUAGGGGUCCUGAGAGGGAGAUCCCCCACACUGGUACUGAGACACGGACCAGACUCCUACGGGAGGCAGCAGUGAGGAAUAUUGGUCAAUGGGCGCAAGCCUGAACCAGCCAUGCCGCGUGCAGGAUGACGGUCCUAUGGAUUGUAAACUGCUUUUGUACAGGAAGAAACACUCCCUCGUGAGGGAGCUUGACGGUACUGUAAGAAUAAGGAUCGGCUAACUCCGUGCCAGCAGCCGCGGUAAU
This 498-nucleotide ribosomal RNA is filed under the name uncultured bacterium. RNAcentral's name for it is "bacterial SSU rRNA". It matches the Rfam family "Bacterial small subunit ribosomal RNA", at positions 28 to 524 of the family's 1533-position model. The record is from RNAcentral.